Molecule: ribosomal RNA, 254 nt
Filed under: uncultured bacterium
Lineage: Bacteria
Description: partial 16S ribosomal RNA
Rfam family: Bacterial small subunit ribosomal RNA
Source: RNAcentral
UACGUAGGCAGCAAGCGUUGUUCGGAGUUACUGGGCGUAAAGGGUGUGUAGGCGGUCUUCUAAGUCUGGUGUGAAAUCUCCCGGCUCAACUGGGAGGGUGCGCCGAAAACUGGAAGGCUAGAGUGCGGGAUGGGAGAGUGGAAUUCCUGGUGUAGCGGUGAAAUGCGUAGAUAUCAGGAGGAACACCUGUGGUGUAGACGGCUCUCUGGACCGCAACUGACGCUGAGACACGAAAAGCGUGGGUAGCAAACAGG